UCGAUAAGAAGAUAGAGGGCUGAGAAAGUAACUCUUGAAUUGGCUAUAGGGUAAUAGUUGCUGCUGCGGCCAUGGAUAUCUAUCCUUCACGAUCAUCGUUUGGAUUUAGUUCUUAGAGACGGUCUCUAUCAUUUGCAUGGUGAUACAUAUGUGAACUUACUUGAACAAGUAGUGAAUGCCAUUAGAUAUGAGAGAUCCAGAAUUGAGAUAAGCUUAAAGUAUAUGUGGACCC
Molecule: long non-coding RNA, 232 nt
Filed under: Elaeis guineensis (African oil palm)
Lineage: Eukaryota; Viridiplantae; Streptophyta; Magnoliopsida; Arecales; Arecaceae
Description: long non-coding RNA (EGUI_LNC034886)
Source: RNAcentral